AACGAACGCUGGCGGCAGGCCUAACACAUGCAAGUCGAGCGCGCCUUCGGGUGAGCGGCGGACGGGUUAGUAACGCGUGGGAACGUGCCCUUCUCUACGGAAUAGCCUCUGGAAACGGAGAGUAAUACCGUAUACGCCCUUUGGGGGAAAGAUUUAUCGGAGAAGGAUCGGCCCGCGUUAGAUUAGGUAGUUGGUGGGGUAACGGCCUACCAAGCCUACGAUCUAUAGCUGGUUUUAGAGGAUGAUCAGCAACACUGGGACUGAGACACGGCCCAGACUCCUACGGGAGGCAGCAGUGGGGAAUCUUAGACAAUGGGGGCAACCCUGAUCUAGCCAUGCCGCGUGAGUGAUGAAGGCCUUAGGGUCGUAAAGCUCUUUCGCCUGUGAUGAUAAUGACAGUAGCAGGUAAAGAAACCCCGGCUAACUCCGUGCCAGCAGA
Molecule: ribosomal RNA, 439 nt
Filed under: uncultured bacterium
Lineage: Bacteria
Description: bacterial SSU rRNA
Rfam family: Bacterial small subunit ribosomal RNA
Source: RNAcentral